GAUGAACGCUGGCGGCGUGCCUAAUACAUGCAAGUCGAGCGAACAGACGAGGAGCUUGCUCCUCUUACGUUAGCGGCGGACGGGUGAGUAACACGUGGAUAACCUACCUAUAAGACUGGGAUAACUUCGGGAAACCUGAGCUAAUACCGGAUAAUAUAUUGAACCGCAUGGUUCAAUAGUGAAAGACGGUUUUGCUGUCACUUAUAGAUGGAUCCGCGCCGCAUUAGCUAGUUGGUAAGGUAACGGCUUACCAAGGCAACGAUGCGUAGCCGACCUGAGAGGGUGAUCGGCCACACUGGAACUGAGACACGGUCCAGACUCCUACGGGAGGCAGCAGUAGGGAAUAUUCAGCAAUGGGCGAAAGCCUGACGGAGCAACGCCGCGUGAGUGAUGAAGGUCUUCGGAUCGUAAAACUCUGUUAUUAGGGAAGAACAAAUGUGUAAGUAACUAUGCACGUCUUGACGGUACCUAAUCAGAAAGCAACGGCUAACUACGUG
Molecule: ribosomal RNA, 497 nt
Filed under: uncultured bacterium
Lineage: Bacteria
Description: partial 16S ribosomal RNA
Rfam family: Bacterial small subunit ribosomal RNA
Source: RNAcentral